Molecule: non-coding RNA, 822 nt
Organism: Taeniopygia guttata (zebra finch)
Lineage: Eukaryota; Metazoa; Chordata; Aves; Passeriformes; Estrildidae
Source: RefSeq, a predicted model, not a curated record
UAAUGUUACUGAAUGCUGUCACUGUCAUGAGUUUUGCCUCCUCCACAAGCAUUUUACAGUCUCCAGGAAGGCUACAGACACGCUGGGAAGAUGACCUCACAGUUCAGCAGAUUCACGUCAGCAGGUGCCACAAGACUUCAGUGUAUAAAGGAGAAAAACAAAUGUGGUGUUCAACAGAAGAGCCAAUGGCUAUUGAAUUCUCAUUAUUUCCACUAGGGAUCUGCUAUCACAUGGCAGCUAGAGCAUUUAGCAUCCAUGUGUCUGGGAGGUGAGCAGCAACCCAAGAGACAAGAUAAUGGAACUGGAAGAGCUGCCUCCUCUGCCCAUUAGUGAAAUGUUCCCAAGGAGAGUGUGAGAUGCUCCCCAGAAGCAAUCAUUUCUUUCUGAAAACCUCAACUGUUACAUGAAAAAAAAUCAUAAUAAUGGUGGCAAAGGGCUGAACUGAAUGAGAUUGCACAGCAGUGCUUUUAUGUGGUAGGAGGAGGAAGGAAAGAGUGUCUGUUGCAUGGUGUAAAAGCCAUGGGAAGAUAUGUGCCCCCUUAAGAAGAAGAAAGAAACAUUUUACCAAAAUGUUUAGGAAGGCCUUCCUUUAUUGGUCUGCUGGUUGCCAAGGAGAAAGAAUCAAUCAUUCAAAAAGAAGGAAAGAAAAAAAGAUGAGAAAAGGAGCUGUCAGGAAAGAAGACAUCUGGAGUUGACUUGUAUACAGUUUCUUCUUCUUAGCCCAGUGACACUGAAUCAUUUGCUUCACUGUUUUAAACCGAAUAAAGCUCUGGAACUCUCUGAUUUUCUGAUUUCUGUUUAAAUAAAAACAUACUUUUUUUU